RNAcentral lists this unclassified non-coding RNA (230 nucleotides) under plant metagenome. RNAcentral describes it as "partial contains small subunit ribosomal RNA and internal transcribed spacer 1". The stretch from base 1 to 46 matches the Rfam family "Eukaryotic small subunit ribosomal RNA", at positions 1786 to 1831 of the family's 1831-position model. The record is from RNAcentral.
AAGUCGUAACAAGGUUUCCGUAGGUGAACCUGCGGAAGGAUCAUUAAAGAGUAAGGGUUAUUCGUAGCCCAACCUCCAACCCUUUGUUGUUAUAAUCUACCCCGUUUGCUUUGGCGGGAGCCGCUCGGUCUCGAGCUGCUGGUCUUCGGCCCGGCAAGUGCCCAGCCAGAGUCUACUCAAAACUCUUGUUUUAACCGGUCGUCUGAGUUAAACUUUUAAUUAGAUUAAAA